GACACUUCCGGCCGGAUUUGUUCAGGAUGGUCGUUUCGUCUGGAGGCGAAAAUCGUUAGGGGCCUAUUCCACUGAGGAUUGUGCUUCAUUAAUACGCGAGAGUUCAUCCCAAGUACGAAGCAGUAGUUCCGGCACCAGCUACAAACAUUUCGAACAACGUCAGAAAGUUCGGAUUGAAGCAGAAUAUUAAAAGAAAACGACGCGGAAAAAAGUACUAAUUAUUUUAAAUCAACGAAAAAAACUAUAAAAAUACAAUAAAACUUACCAUAUUUACCAUUAAUUUCAAUGUAUAAAUAUAUGUUUUACAGUACAAUUUAGUGGAGAGAAAAAAAUAAAUACAAUGAAAAUACAAUGAA
Long non-coding RNA from Culex quinquefasciatus (southern house mosquito), 356 nucleotides. RefSeq lists it as uncharacterized. The transcript has 2 exons. The record is from RefSeq and is a predicted model, not a curated record. Lineage: Eukaryota; Metazoa; Arthropoda; Insecta; Diptera; Culicidae.